Molecule: ribosomal RNA, 420 nt
Filed under: Triticum aestivum (bread wheat)
Lineage: Eukaryota; Viridiplantae; Streptophyta; Magnoliopsida; Poales; Poaceae
Description: partial small subunit ribosomal RNA
Source: RNAcentral
AUGAAAAUGCUUAACUGGAACUGUCGAGGGCUGGGUCGGCCUCGUACAGUUCAAGAACUAGUCUGUCUCAAUAAAUCUUACCAGCCCAACAUUAUCUUUCUUUCCGAAACAAGGCAAAAUAAAGAAUAUGUUGAGAGUUUGCGGUAUCGGUUGGGCAUGAAAAGUGUGUUUACUGUUUCAGUUAAAGGUAAAGGUGGUGGCUUAGCUGUGUUUUGGGAUGAGUGCUUCACCAUGGAGUUAAACAAAUUUGGUGAGCAUUUUAUUGAUAUGUAUAUCUCUAAUAGUGAUGGUUCAAAAUGGAGAUGCACUUUCGUUUAUGGAGAACCGAAAGCAUGUCAAAGGUAUGUCAUGUGGGAGCUCCUACGAUGGGUAAAAUCUCUUGGUUCUGGGCCAUGGUGUCUGGUGGGUGAUUUUGAAUGA